AUGUGUAACAAAAUGGCUACAAAUAAAUGGAGAAGCACAUCAUCCAACCUGGUGGAGAAUGAAGGCUCCUCAUGUGAAGAAUGUCAGAGAACACUACCUGCUUUAAAAGACACCAGGAAAACAUUUAAAUUACUUUUCUACGCGAAGGAUAGAUCCUACAUACUUGGUUCCCUGCUGAUGAAGAAUGUGGGCACGGUAGACACCAGCUGCUUUGGUGACAUGAUUCUUCAUCAGUAAUAACUAAUCAUAGGUGAAAGGACAUUUAUCUAGUGUCAUGUGAAAAAGGACUACUGCUUCACUUAAAGAGAAGCCUACUUUCAGUUACUGUAACAUAUAAAUAGCUUUCUGGCUCUCAAAUAUUCCUUUAGAAAACACCAGUAGUAGAUAGAAAUCACAUUUUUAUGGAUUUUUGUUUGACUUGCUUAUGCCUUUGUUCUUCAAUUGUUUUCCUUUGGUUAACUUUUUAAAAUUCAAAUUAAAGGGGUUAUGAGUUUCAACUAGUGGGAAUUAUCCUAAUUGUAUUUACAUUAUCAUGCUAUAGGAAUUACAACACAUGCACUUCUACAAUUUGAAACUGAUAGGAUUGUAAUAAAGGCUGACACUGUCACA
RNAcentral lists this long non-coding RNA (609 nucleotides) under Felis catus (domestic cat). RNAcentral's name for it is "lncRNA (ENSFCAG00000048040.1)". The record is from RNAcentral. Lineage: Eukaryota; Metazoa; Chordata; Mammalia; Carnivora; Felidae.